AUGCAUUCUACUGUCAAAAAUGAAAUAAGGAAAAGACAAUCCAAGUGGAAAUCUGUACACUGGGAACUGGUGGAGCCUGCUGUAAGCAUAAGAACUUUGAAGGCUCGUAUGAUUGCUCUUGAUAAGAAUGACCUUAACAAAGCUUAUGUACAGCUUACGCUUGAGUUCAUCACUAAGCAGAAAUUUGAAGCCUAUAAUUCAAAAAGAGAGGUUGUGUCAGGAGACAAGUCAAAGGAGGUGCUGGUGAAAGACAUAUGGGUGUUUGAAAGAUCCCUUUUCCACCCUGGAGCAUACUGGCGUGUGUGUGCGCGAAUCACGCUGUGA
Molecule: ribosomal RNA, 324 nt
Filed under: Triticum aestivum (bread wheat)
Lineage: Eukaryota; Viridiplantae; Streptophyta; Magnoliopsida; Poales; Poaceae
Description: partial small subunit ribosomal RNA
Source: RNAcentral